AAGGAGUGUAACAUGCUCGCGAGUGUUUGGGUGGUAAACCCGAGCGCGUAAUGAAAGUGAAAGUUGGGACCUCUGUCGUGGAGGGCACCGACGCCCGAGCCUGAUGUUUUCGGACGGCCUCGCGGUAGAGCGAGUAUGUUGCGACCCGAAAGAUGGUGAACUAUUCCUGAGGAGGGCGAAGCCAGAGGAAACUCUGGUGGAGGCUCGUAGCGUUUCUGACGUGCAAAUCGAUCGCAGGACUUGGGUAUAGGGGCGAAAGACUAAUCGAACCAUCUAGUAGCUGGUUCCUGC
Molecule: unclassified non-coding RNA, 291 nt
Filed under: uncultured fungus
Lineage: Eukaryota; Fungi
Description: partial contains 5.8S rRNA, ITS2 and 28S rRNA
Rfam family: Eukaryotic large subunit ribosomal RNA
Source: RNAcentral